Molecule: ribosomal RNA, 405 nt
Filed under: uncultured prokaryote
Description: bacterial SSU rRNA
Rfam family: Bacterial small subunit ribosomal RNA
Source: RNAcentral
UGGGGAAUAUUGGGCAAUGGGCGCAAGCCUGACCCAGCAACGCCGCGUGAGGGAAGAAGGUCUUCGGAUUGUAAACCUCUGUCCUUGGGGACGAAAAAAAUGACGGUACCCAAGGAGGAAGCUCCGGCUAACUACGUGCCAGCAGCCGCGGUAAUACGUAGGGAGCGAGCGUUGUCCGGAAUUACUGGGCGUAAAGGGUGCGUAGGCGGUGUGGCAAGUCAGAUGUGAAAUCCCCGGGCUUAACUCGGGUGGUGCAUUUGAAACUGCUGAACUUGAGUGCAGGAGAGGAAAGCGGAAUUCCUAGUGUAGCGGUGAAAUGCGUAGAUAUUAGGAGGAACACCAGUGGCGAAGGCGGCUUUCUGGACUGUAACUGACGCUGAGGCACGAAAGCGUGGGGAGCAAACA